This 66-nucleotide transfer RNA is filed under the name Petrobiellus sp. 1 JZ-2014. RNAcentral describes it as "tRNA-Glu". The record is from RNAcentral. Lineage: Eukaryota; Metazoa; Arthropoda; Insecta; Archaeognatha; Machilidae.
ACUGUUAUGGUGUAUAUAACACAUUACAUUUUCAUUGUAAAGAAAAGAUUUUUUUCUUUAAAAGUU